Caenorhabditis elegans is the source of this 21-nucleotide non-coding RNA. The record is from Ensembl. NCBI's taxonomy places the organism in Eukaryota, Metazoa, Nematoda, Chromadorea, Rhabditida, Rhabditidae.
UACGAUUUGUCCAUUUUUUGG